Molecule: ribosomal RNA, 275 nt
Filed under: uncultured Gemmatimonas sp.
Lineage: Bacteria; Pseudomonadati; Gemmatimonadota; Gemmatimonadia; Gemmatimonadales; Gemmatimonadaceae
Description: partial 16S ribosomal RNA
Rfam family: Bacterial small subunit ribosomal RNA
Source: RNAcentral
CCUACGGGUGGCUGCAGUGGGGAAUCUUGCGCAAUGGCCGAAAGGCUGACGCAGCGACGCCGCGUGAGGGAUGACGGCCUUCGGGUUGUAAACCUCUGUUGCCCGGGACGAACACCCGUUUCGACGGGGAUGACGGUACCGGGUGAGGAAGCACCGGCUAACUCUGUGCCAGCAGCCGCGGUAAUACAGAGGGUGCGAGCGUUGUCCGGAAUCACUGGGCGUAAAGGGCGCGUAGGCGGUGGCGUAAGCGUGCGGUGAAAGCUCGGGGCUCAACC